This 253-nucleotide ribosomal RNA is filed under the name uncultured bacterium. RNAcentral's name for it is "partial 16S ribosomal RNA". It matches the Rfam family "Bacterial small subunit ribosomal RNA", at positions 524 to 776 of the family's 1533-position model. The record is from RNAcentral.
UACGUAGGGAGCAAGCGUUGUUCGGAUUUACUGGGCGUAAAGGGCGCGUAGGCGGCCUGUUAAGUCAGACGUGAAAUCCCUCGGCUCAACCGGGGAACUGCGUCUGAUACUGGGUGGCUUGAAUCCGGGAGAGGGAUGCGGAAUUCCAGGUGUAGCGGUGAAAUGCGUAGAUAUCUGGAGGAACACCGGUGGCGAAGGCGGCAUCCUGGACCGGCAUUGACGCUGAGGCGCGAAAGCCAGGGGAGCAAACGGG